GAUAUGGGUUUACAUAUCAAGACAUGUAAACCCAGAUAAAUUGGAACAUUAAUUAACCUAUGUUUUUUUUUUUUUUUUUUUUUUUUUUUUUAAUAAUGAGGGUCCAUCUGAAAAUGUAGUGAGUUCAUGAGGUAGGAGUUCAUACGUUUCUUACUUCUUCCUAGUCCUUUUCGAACGUGUUAAGAUUAUUGUAGUACAAAAAAUAUGUCUUUUGCAUUCCUUGUUCAUGUGUGUGAUUUUAUACUUGUCAUGUUCGAAAUAAAUAAAAUAAACAAUACUCAAAGAUUUCAGCUGUACCAUCAUCGAACCAGACUGUAAUCUUCUUCAGCAUAUUUUAAACGAGCUUCCACUUCAGCAUCGUUUCUUCAAUUAAAUUUAUGUUUUCAUUUAUGUUGGUCAGAGUGUUUAGGAAGUUUUAAUUCGCGUCCCUGAUUUCAAGUUUUCCUUCUGUGACCCGACACAGAAGCCGUUUAAACUUGACCACUUCUAAGAUUAAGACAAAAAAAAGCAACAAAAAAAAAAAAACAUGACAUUCAACUAAGUUAGGAAUUGGUUAGAAGAAAACAGCUGCGCUUGCCUUUCUUUACAGUCAGCAAUAAUAAAGCACCAAGUCUCAAUAACAACCAGUCGAUUUUUUACACACCUUUAAUUGGUGCGCACAUCAUUAUGAAGGACUUUAUAAUAUAUCUGGAUAUUGUGAUAAAGGAUGAUCAAAUCAUACAUUUUAUAAAACAUUGAAGUCGAGUUCAAUUUAUUAUGCCAAUUGGAAAAAUGUUUUUUUUUUUGUUAAUGUAAGGAAACCCAGUAUUGAGUUUGCAGCAAUCCCUCAUACUGAGCAAGUAUGUGGCGACAGUGGACAGCAUAACCCGACUGAGUGCGAGCAGCCAAAUAGGGGUUUGAUGUAUUCUCAUACUGAGAAUAAGGCAGCAAAUGUCAUGUAAAACUUGCACAGCUUCUCAAUAAGUCACAGGUACAGAAAUGUACUACUACUCUCUGUGUCAGCACCGUCAACACGGAUGAACGUGUGGGAAAAAAUGCCCAAACCACACUUAAUUUCAAAUCGUUUACUUUAGAGAACUGACCAGGAAGAACAUGCCUGGUUGUAAAAGGCUUCUUCAACCAGCUCACCAAAUCCCACACUGUGAGAACCAGAUGACAAUGGCCGUGCUAAACCCAAAUGCUAAAGAAUCCCAGCUUUAUGGUUAUCAUGCCACAUUGAAUGCAGAAAAGAAAGUUUCAUGCCUGUGUGUGUGUGUGUAUCUUUUAUGUGGGUCACCCCACCAUGUCUAAUGGCCCCUUGCUGCGUGCAGCGUCCUGCGUUGAGCUGCUCCCUGCUGUCACACACACACACACACACACACACACAAACAAAUGUGCGGGCACAGUGGGGGAGAUUUUUGGGGUCUCCCUUUGCCCUAAUACCCUCCACAAUACACCACUGCUGCAUCUGUUGCGUCUGUCCUCAAAGUUUAAAGUUGCUCGGUGAAGAACUAGCAUCCCUCUCCUCAUUAGCUAGCUUCUUUCCUCUUUUCUGAUGACAUCUGCUCACCCUUUCCCUCUUUUCUGCCACUUUUUAUUCUUUCAACUCAAAAGAUGGGUUAUUAUUAUUGCCAUUUUUUUCUGCAGUUUUUUUUGUUGUUGUUGUUUCACCCUAGGAUGACUGGGACUGGAUUUUACAAGGAGCAGACUUCAGCCUUUUUAGGCCUCCGUGACGCAUGCGGCUAGCGGCUAGCAGCUACCUCAACCAGGUGCACAGACUCCUCAUUGCGCCUGGGCGGAACAUGAAACGGUCCCUCCAGCUGGAAGAGCGAGAGCUGUGUGGGCUUCCUGAAGUGGUGCAGCGCCGGGUCAUCGGAGAGCCGCAGUGCAUGCUUGGGAACAGAAGCAGCUAUCUGUGUUAUUUCAGCAGCAGCAGCAGCAGCAUGUUGGAUGAAGGGCCCUUCCACGGGCAUUAUGGAUUAAUCUUUGGCAGGAUCUCAACUGGAUCGGCCCAAAAAUGGGAUGUUUAACCUCACGUGUAGCAGAACCGCUGUGAUAAAGCGGGAUAGAGAGAGGAUUGAGCGUGACCCACAUUGGGACUGUUCUAAAUGUAUUACCUGUGUUGACUGUUUAUGAAGGUAUGUGCUAUGCAAACCCACAAUGUUAUUCCAAGAGAGUCAUCACUAUAUAUAAAUAUAUAUAUAUAUAUAAAAGCAAGAACAGAUGUUUGCUAAUUCUGAAAGAUUUGUUUUAGAUGCAACAAUCAGAGAUCAGAAUCAGCAUUUUUUUUUAACUCUGACCAAGUCAAUACACUGACAAUGUUACGUUUCCCCUUCAUUCAUUAAAGCUACAUUCCUCCUAUGUAUACUUCCUAAACUCAACGACCACAACGCAAGUACUUUUAUGAUAUAUAAUUUUUUUAUUUAAGAAAAAUCAGAUCGAGGUUAGUUUAAUGCGCUUUCAUGCAUAAACUGGGUUUAACAUAGUCAUUGCUUCAUUUCUGUUGGAUUCCAGACAUCUAUCUCUAUCAAAGCAUCUGCAGUACAUCCUCCCCCCCCCCUUUUAUAUGUUAUAGUCCUAAGUGAAAAAAAAAAAAAAAUCACUCAAUCGAAUCUCAGAAUCAUCCUGUGAUCAUUCCUAAAAGACAAUCGGAAAUAUUUCUCACUUUCAGUCGUUAAUAGGCAACAUUUUUGAACUAUGUGGUUGCGUUUAAUCCACCACCUUUCACAUGUGAACACAGGUUCGCAGCUAAAGGCUCCCACUGCGGAUCUCCCUCGUUGUAAAUUGUUUGUUACACAGGCCUGAGUGGAGAGUCACUUUCCUGUCGAGCUUCACAUCAGGGAGUCAGUUUUGACAGGUCUGAAUAAAAAAAAUAAAAUAAAAAAAAGUCAGGAAUCGCACGUACAAGCCUCGGUUUACAGGGGAAAGGCAUGUUAUGAACCCAGUACGUUCUCCUGUAUCGCGAGAAACAAGUUAGGCACAAAAGGCGACUCUGUUUGCUCGUACGGAGCAGUUUGCAGCCUUUUCAUAGACAUCCCAGAUUAGAGAUCAGAGGGAUUUUCCACAGAAGAUAAAUCUGAUUUUAAGUCUGUGCUCUUAAUCCAGACUCCAUGGUCACGAGACGAUGACCCGUGACAGUCUGGUUGUGAUUAAACCUUCUGGUAACUAAAGCUUAACUUGGAUAUCGCAAAGUCACUCUCUCUUUCUCUUUCUCUCUCUCUCUCGGAACGCAAUCACACUUUUUUUUUUUGGUGAAUAUUUCAUGUUACUUGUUUAGAUUACAUGCAACUAAUAAAACAACAUCCUGCAUGAAUCAUUAAAAAGAAAAAGAAAAAAAGCAUAAAAACCUAAACCUGCUUCUCUUGGAACAUAUGCUUCAGCGGGCGAAGUUCUUUAUUUAAGAUUCAAGCAUUAGACCCGAGACAGUGAUCACAAAACUCUGUUUAGAUUGUGCAAGCAGCGUUUCAGCACUACAAAGGCAGCUACGUCUUUUCAUGAAGGAGUUUACAAGUACUUCCUGCUUUACAGUGGUGCACUCCAGAGAAGGUGAAGGCUUUAAUGUGCAAUUGCCAUCUAACAAAAACACGAUUAUGUCAGAAGCUGCGUGUACCAUUCUCUGUUCAAAGGGGCUUUUGUGAUCAUAUAUUUUAAUGUACUUUAUCAAAGAUUCCCUUUUUUUUUUUUCCCUGCGUCUGAACCCUGCAACAAAUGCUGCACCGUUUGAUAUUCGGCGUACGUAGUGGAAAGAUCGGAUUUUUAGGUGCUUUCAGAAGGACAAACGGAUCAUCACACCUCUGAUCACGAGCCCAUCGCCUGACAAGUGAACACAAAACCUCUCGGCUGAUUUAUGUUUUGGACUGUAAUUAAAACGUACGAAUGUGAAAUCACCCUGUCCUCCUGACGUGACUCACAGCAUUAGGAUUUGUCGCUCUUCUGGUUGUGUAAUUGCGGUCCCCGUGAAGUCAUGUGACCGGCGUGAACCCGUUUUCAACUUGAAAACCUCUUGGCUCGGCGUCUGCCAGAGUGUCAGCAGUAAUUCUCGGCGUGGUUUGAAAAGGGAUUCAGGGGG
Poecilia latipinna (sailfin molly) is the source of this 4048-nucleotide long non-coding RNA. RefSeq lists it as uncharacterized. The record is from RefSeq and is a predicted model, not a curated record. Lineage: Eukaryota; Metazoa; Chordata; Actinopteri; Cyprinodontiformes; Poeciliidae. The transcript has 2 exons.